This 711-nucleotide long non-coding RNA is filed under the name Bos taurus (domestic cattle). Its description in RNAcentral is "long non-coding RNA NONBTAT009621". Lineage: Eukaryota; Metazoa; Chordata; Mammalia; Artiodactyla; Bovidae. The record is from RNAcentral.
UGAAGCAAGCUGGAAAGUCCAACAGAAAGAGAUAGGGAGAAGCUUAUAGGCUUUUCCAAGUAAGAAAUUAUUAGUAUUUUUCAACACUUUGCCUUUUAAUGAUUAUUUCAGUUUCUGAAUCCAAAAGGUAAGAUUUUUUUUUAAAUCUAAUUAGGAGUGAGAAAAUAGCCUUGUGCCAGGCAGUUUUGAGACCACACUGUUCAAUCAGUUCAAAGUAUUACUAGCAUUUUUCUCGAGUGUAAUAUAUGAUAACUGCCAAGCUUUCCUUUUGUGAUUAUGAAGUGGACAGAUACUAGAGUGAGCCAUAUUUCAGCACUACAGAGAUAUGAAAAAUGACCUGCUGAAAACGGCCCAGAAGGAAUGAAUAAGACAUCAAUGUCAUCUGUAUACUUAUUGGUGAUGAAUUUCUAAAAAGUUUAAUGGUAUGAUGCUAUGAUAUAUAGGGGCUUCCUGAAAGAUAAUAACUGUAUGUUACCCACUUAGAAGACUGUAAAGGGUGAAAGUAACUAAGUGCAGAUAAUAUAUAAGUAUGUGACUUUACUAACAUAGUUAAACCAUUUUGUGCAUUCCAUAUUGCUAGCCUCUAUGACUAGAAAUAAAAAUUAACAAGAUUGUGAAAAGUCGGGAAGAACAGAUGUUCCCCAACUCUUAUUAUUACACAUUUAGUAAAGCCUUUAAUUUGCCUUUUCAUAGACUGGGACCUAUAUAGCA